GUGUAUGAAUGUGACAGUUAUUGGGUCGUACGGUGUAUGAAUGUGACAGUUAUUGGGUCAGACAGUGUAUGAAUGUGACAGUUAUUUGGUCUGAUGGUGUAUGACUGUGAUAGUUAUUGGGUCAGACGGUGUAUGAAUGUGACAGUUAUUGGAUCAGACGGUGUAUGAAUGUGAGUUUUUAGGUCGGACAGUGUAUGAAUGGUACAGUUAUUGGGUCUGACGGUGUAUGAAUGUGACAGUUAUUGGGUCUGACGGUGUAAGAAUGUGACAGUUAUUGGGUCAGACGGUGUAUGAAUGUGACAGUUAUUG
This is a non-coding RNA of Pelobates cultripes (western spadefoot toad), 309 nucleotides long. NCBI's taxonomy places the organism in Eukaryota, Metazoa, Chordata, Amphibia, Anura, Pelobatidae. The record is from the annotation of a GenBank genome assembly.